This 209-nucleotide ribosomal RNA is filed under the name uncultured bacterium. RNAcentral describes it as "partial 16S ribosomal RNA". It matches the Rfam family "Bacterial small subunit ribosomal RNA", at positions 568 to 774 of the family's 1533-position model. The record is from RNAcentral.
CGCGUAGGCGGGCUUUCAAGUUUGGGGUGAAAUCCUCCGGCUCAACCGGAGAACUGCCUCGAAUACUGAAGGUCUCGAGGGGGAUAGGGGCAUGCGGAACUACGGGUGGAGCGGUGAAAUGCGUUGAUAUCCGUAGGAACUCCGGUGGCGAAGGCGGCGUGCUGGAUCCCUUCUGACGCUGAGGCGCGAAAGCCAGGGGAAGGCAAACG